AUGUCAUCUUACCUGCUCUGUGUGGAUAUAUAAGCUGCUGUCUGUUCAUUGGAGGACAUCAUCGGACAAACAGCAACAGCUCCUGAACAGGUGGAAUCAGACGGCAUCCCGGCUUCAGUCACUGCAGUGAAGACAGCACCAGACCAAAUCUAACAGCACCUUCCACAAUGAUGAUGAAGAUCUGUGUCAUCCUCUUUCUGCUUGUUGCCUCCGGCAACGGACAGACCAGUACAACUGCUGAAGCAACAACAGCUGAAGCAACAACCACAGCUGAAGCAACAACAGUUGAAGCAACAACCACAGCUGCAGCAACAACAGCUGAAGCAACAACCACAGCUGAAGCAACAACAGCUGAAGCAACAACCACA
Scatophagus argus is the source of this 368-nucleotide long non-coding RNA. RefSeq lists it as uncharacterized. NCBI's taxonomy places the organism in Eukaryota, Metazoa, Chordata, Actinopteri, Scatophagidae. The transcript is spliced from 3 exons. The record is from RefSeq and is a predicted model, not a curated record.